GUGGAAGGAAUUCAGUGCCUCGCUCCUUGCUCAAGCAGGGCGGUGGGCUGCUGCGACAGGAGGGUGGGCUCACACACCACGGGGCCGCCUGCAGAGAGGAGCGAGGCACGGCUGCCUGCAAGCCGCUCGCUUGGGAGUGGUGCAGAUCUCACCAGUGUCUCUCUGGGUUUUCUUUGCAAAUCCCCCGCAGGCAGAGUUUGCUCAACUAGUUGAACUGGCUCUUUCUCUCUUGUUUUUUUGGCAAACCAAGGAUUUCCUUCCUGAUAAAAACAGCCGGCCGGCGCCCCGAUUGGGUGCAGGGUUGCGGAGGAUAUGACAUCAGGCACAUCUCUCGCUUCAUGCAGUGUGGUCUGCCUGAUUGCUGGCUGCCUACCAGUGGAGCCGGGGAGGUGUUUCCCUAAACCCCAUCCCAGGUACUUGAGUUUCUGCACAAAGUGGUGCUGCACCGAGUCCCAGCCCGCUGCGAGGUUUGUUGGAGUGGUGCACAAGCAGUCUGCUCAACAGAUCACUCACGCAUGCAGGGGCUCGCCGAGGACGAUGGAAUUUGAACCCUCAAGAGCAACGCUGAAGUGAGAAAACAGAAACUGGGCAGACAAGGCUGAGAUGGAUGAUGAGGGAACGAGUCAAAAUGCCAGUAAAUCACAAGGAGUCGGGGGCCAGGUGUCUGCAACGUCUCCAUCAUUGCUGCUGAUGAGGGACUUUGUUUCAGACUGGUCUCCUUUACAUGAUGCCUCUAUCCGUGGGCGCCUGCUUACUCUAAAGAAACUCAUCAGCCAGGGGAGUGAUGUUAAUCUUGUUACAACAGACCAGGUGUCUCCCCUCCAUGAAGCCUGCCUAGGUGGUCAUGCUGCUUGUGCAAGUGUCCUAUUAAAACAUGGUGCUAAGGUGAAUGGAGUGACUGUUGACUGGCACACUCCUUUGUUCAGCGCCUGUGUCAGUGGCAGUGUGGCUUGCUUGAAUUUACUGCUGCAACACGGAGCCAGCCUGCACCCGCCCUGUGACUUAGCAUCCCCCAUCCAUGAAGCUGCUAAGAGAGGUCAUGUGCAAUGUGUUGAGAUCCUCGUGUCCCAUGGGGUGAACAUAGAUUAUAACAUCAAACAUCUGGGUACUCCGCUUUAUGUAGCUUGUGAGAACCAACAAGUCAACUGUGCCAGGAAGCUGCUUGAGUCAGGAGCAAAUGUGAACAGCGGCCAGGGCCUGGAGUCCCCACUGCAUGCAGCCGCCAGGAGUUGCAGUGAGGAGCUGGUGAUGCUGCUGAUUGACUUUGGAGCAGACAUUUGGGCAAAGAACGCCAAAAGCAAGAGGCCGAUGGAGCUGGUUCCACCUGGAAGCCCUUUGGGUCGUCUGUUCCUGCAGAAAGAAGGGCCGCUGUCCUUGAUGCAUUUAUGCCGCCUGUCCAUCAGGAGGUGCUUUGGACAUAAGCAGCACCAGAAAAUAACUGGUCUUCUCCUCCCAGAUGAGCUGAAACGUUUUCUUCUCCAUGUUUAAGCCUUUCGAGUUUAAAGUGGUGCCUUAAUAACACAGCAAGGUUUGUUGAGGAAAGACUUCCCAUCAGUAGUGUUGCCAAUAUGCAGUGUUAAUUUAUGAUAGCUGUUGUCUCUAGUAGAGCCCUCAGUCCAGGAAGGAUGGGAACAACCAACUUGCUGAGUCCUCCCAGCCACCACCCCCAGCAAACCAGUAACUUGAAAAGGAGAUAAUGGCUGACAACACCUUACCAAGAAAAUUCAUAUCCCAGCCUGGCAGGAACAGCAUUUUGUGUGCAUUAAACUCUAAGGAUAGCUGCACUUUUUCUGUGUAAGCAGGGCUUACGGAUGUGAGGGCUGCAUCCACACCACUGUAAGGUAAGGAAAGGGAACCCAGCUGAACCUACUUUCAAAGCAAGCAAGGCCCUCUGGCAGGUGUUAUUUAUUUUCUAUGUAUAUCACGCUGCAGAUAGAUGAGCACCAACCACCAAUCAUCUGCAUUUAGGCCAGGAUCUGAAAUACACAUUUCUGCCAUGACAGCAAGUAAGUCACUGCUGCUGGCAGCUCCCCACAGUGCGGUAAUAAUGGAGGAAAUGUUUUUAAUCAUCCAUUUAUAUCACUUAUUCCUGUUGCUCUGAGACAUAAGGGAGCCCCACCUCACUAUUACAUAUAUUUUCCUUGUAGCAUAUUAUUUUUUCAAGGGCACAGGCUAACAGGCUAUCGCUUGCAGGUGUUAAACACUCCCCCUUUCUGCCCUGAGUAUUCAGCGACAUUUCCUAAGUAUUUCUCAGCAUGCAUCUGAAAAACAAGAGCUUCUAUCUCCCUUCCCAUCCAAGAAAAAAGAACAUCUUGAGAAAAGCUGUCCUGCUGCCACAAACCAAAGCGCAGUUACAAUCACUCUGUGCUCUCCUGGAUUCUCCCAUGGGAAUACUGACUAUCCAACAGGCACGAGACUGAGGAUGAUGGUCUAGUUCUUCCGCCACCAGCCUCAUCCUACCUCCAUCUCUGGACCACUGUGCACCUGCAGGGUUGUUGCACGUGUGCCAGAGGGGCAGGCCAAGCACUUGGGUGAUUUUGGAGAUCCUUUUCUUCUUCACUUAGCUAUGAAGACUCCUGCAAGAGUGAGCUCGGUGUGCACAAACUGCAGUGAAAUCAUGAGCAAUGAGAUACAGACAGUCCUCAUCUCGUGUUAGUGGAGAGAGCAGCAGCCUUCAAAUACACACACAGUUCUGGUGUUUGCUGGUGUGCGUGUGUGUGCAGAGCCAGCCUUCCUUUUGCUUAUGAGAAGUAUGAGAGGAGGGACCAAAGGCUACACCUGGGUACUUGUAUUUGUUGUAAAGAACAGUUCAGAUACUCAGCUGGACAACACAACUACUGGCUGCAGGUGUUCUCCGGUAUAAGCGUUUAAUUGUUGUGCUGACCAAACACAGCAGGAGCAGUUCCUUUGGCUUGUGGGACACUAAAUUGUACCCUAUUGAGACAAAAUGAGAAGUACAGUCAGGUCCUUACAAUUCCUUUUUAUGGGAUAUGGACAUCUAGACAUCUUCACUGAUCUGACCCAAUUCAUCACAUGUUAUCUGAGCCAUAUAAAAAAUCACUGGCUGGUUUAAGAUGGCCAUCUAUACUCUUUCUUUCCUGCUGGGGGAAAAAAAUAGACAUUUGUCUUCAUAUGCUGAUUGAAAGGUGUCUUGUAUGGGUAGAUCCUUUUAAAAUCACUAUCAUGCAUAAGCUGAAUCUCCGUUGAACAGGCAGGGAACAGACAGCUAACCCAGUGCUUAACUUUUUGAAGAUGAAAGUGAAGUAUGAAGAAUCCCUGUUUUGGUCACACAUCUGAAAGUUGAAAAUACAGCUUAUUUUAUUUUAGAUGAAGAUUUUCUUUUUUUAUCUGCUAUUUUCAUUAUUUACCUUUACGCAUCUUAUUUUGUAGCAUCACUCAAUGGGUUUACCAGAGUAAUACAAGGAGAAUAUUGCUCAGAGAAGGUGGUGAGAUCAUUGUUUCUAGAUUGCUUUUCAUUUGGAAAUUUCAAAGCUUGACUCUGCUUACUUGAAUCCCUCAGAUCAUGUAAAAUUAGGAUGAAUUCUCUAUGCUUCAUUUGUAUCAUCUCGAUAUAUUUGCUUAUUUAUUUUAAUAAAAAUUGUGAUCAACACUGGUAAAGUAUAUCUUUAUGCAUCAACACGUCCAUUUAUAAACUGCAAAAGUUGUACAAGAUGCAAACCAAAUAAGCUAAAUAUAGGUGAGAUUUAGACAUUUUUCUCUAUUUGAAACCAAAUGUAAUUGCAGGAUUUGAAAGAUUGUUAUGAAUAUAUUUUAUCAGAUUCUUUGCUGUUAUUUUGCUGGCAGUUUAGUGAAUAUCAAUGCACAGUUGUAUAGGAUAUCAGCUCAAAAAUAAAUGGUUUAUAAUCUGUU
Molecule: RNA transcript, 3870 nt
Organism: Cygnus atratus (black swan)
Lineage: Eukaryota; Metazoa; Chordata; Aves; Anseriformes; Anatidae
Gene: ASB9
Gene name: ankyrin repeat and SOCS box containing 9
Exons: 8
Source: RefSeq, a predicted model, not a curated record